Molecule: ribosomal RNA, 691 nt
Filed under: Pantoea agglomerans
Lineage: Bacteria; Pseudomonadati; Pseudomonadota; Gammaproteobacteria; Enterobacterales; Erwiniaceae
Description: partial 23S ribosomal RNA
Rfam family: Bacterial large subunit ribosomal RNA
Source: RNAcentral
CCGGGCUGCGGACAGUGUCUGGUGGGUAGUUUGACUGGGGCGGUCUCCUCCUAAAGAGUAACGGAGGAGCACGAAGGUCAGCUAAUCACGGUCGGACAUCGUGAGGUUAGUGCAAUGGCAUAAGCUGGCUUGACUGCGAGAGUGACGGCUCGGGCAGGUGCGAAAGCAGGUCAUAGUGAUCCGGUGGUUCUGAAUGGAAGGGCCAUCGCUCAACGGAUAAAAGGUACUCCGGGGAUAACAGGCUGAUACCGCCCAAGAGUUCAUAUCGACGGCGGUGUUUGGCACCUCGAUGUCGGCUCAUCACAUCCUGGGGCUGAAGUAGGUCCCAAGGGUACGGCUGUUCGCCGUUUAAAGUGGUACGCGAGCUGGGUUUAGAACGUCGUGAGACAGUUCGGUCCCUAUCUGCCGUGGGCGCUGGAGAAUUGAGGGGGGUUGCUCCUAGUACGAGAGGACCGGAGUGAACGCACCACUGGUGUUCGGGUUGUCAUGCCAAUGGCAUUGCCCGGUAGCUAAGUGCGGAAAAGAUAAGUGCUGAAAGCAUCUAAGCACGAAACUUGCCCCGAGAUGAGUUCUCCCUGACUCCUUGAGAGUCCUGAAGGGACGUUGAAGACUACGACGUUGAUAGGCCGGGUGUGUAAGCGCAGCGAUGCGUUGAGCUAACCGGUACUAAUGACCCGUGAGGCUUAACCUU